GCGAGGCCGAAAGGCGUAGUCGAUGGGAAACGGGUUAAUAUUCCCGUACUUCUUACAAUUGCGAUGGGGGGACGGAGAAGGCUAGGUGGGCCUGGCGACGGUUGUCCAGGUUCAAGUGCGUAGGCUUAAGAGUUAGGUAAAUCCGGCUCUUUUUAAGGCUGAGACACGACGUCGAGCAUCUACGGAUGUGAAGUCAUUGAUGCCAUGCUUCCAGGAAAAGCCUCUAAGCUUCAGAUUGUAAGGAAUCGUACCCCAAACCGACACAGGUGGUCGGGUAGAGAAUACCAAGGCGCUUGAGAGAACUCGGGUGAAG
RNAcentral lists this ribosomal RNA (313 nucleotides) under Vibrio parahaemolyticus. RNAcentral describes it as "bacterial LSU rRNA". It matches the Rfam family "Bacterial large subunit ribosomal RNA", at positions 1396 to 1709 of the family's 2925-position model. Lineage: Bacteria; Pseudomonadati; Pseudomonadota; Gammaproteobacteria; Vibrionales; Vibrionaceae. The record is from RNAcentral.